AUGGCGAGCAUCUUCUGGGGCGGCGCCCAGGCCGACGAGGUGGCCGACUUCGACGAGCACGACCCCACCCCCUACGGCGGCGGCUAUGACAUCACCCUCACCUUCGGCCGCGCCCUCCCGCCCUCCGACGAGAUUUGCUACCCCAUCUCCACCGCCUCCACCUCGUCGUCAUCGUAUGAGAGCCACGGCGCGGCCGAGCAGCACCGCAGGAGGCCGCAGGACCAGGACAGCCACGGCUCCGCGGGGUACGGGAGGAGGCCGGAGGAGUCACACGGCUCCGCUGCUGGUUACGGGCACGGGAGGAAGGCUCACGACGACGACGACGACGACGGUGGUGCGUACCGGAAGCCGAAGCCGUCCCACGGCGACGACGACCGGCCCAGCUACGGCCGCAAGAAGAACGACGACGACGACGACGACGAGAGGCGGUCGCGGUACAAAAAGCGCGACGACGACGACGAUGAUGAGAGGAAGCCGCGGUACAAGAAGCACGACGACGACGAUGAUGACCACGAGAGGAGGCCGCGGUACAAGAAACGUGACGACGACGACGAUGAUGACGAUGACAGAAAGCCACGUUACAAGAAGCGCUACGACGACGACGACGAUGAUGAUAGGAAGCCACGUUACAAGAAGCACGAUGAUGAUGAUGACGACGACGAUGAUAGGAAGCAGCGUCGCGGGAACAACCGCCGCCGCCACGAUGACGAUGACUGA
RNAcentral lists this ribosomal RNA (717 nucleotides) under Triticum aestivum (bread wheat). RNAcentral describes it as "partial small subunit ribosomal RNA". The record is from RNAcentral. Lineage: Eukaryota; Viridiplantae; Streptophyta; Magnoliopsida; Poales; Poaceae.